UAGGGAAUAUUGGACAAUGGGCGAAAGCCUGAUCCAGCAAUGCCGCGUGAGCGAUGAAGGCCUUAGGGUUGUAAAGCUCUUUUACCCGGGAUGAUAAUGACAGUACCGGGAGACUAAGCCCCGGCUAACUCCGUGCCAGCAGCCGCGGUAAUACGGAGGGGGCUAGCGUUGUUCGGAAUUAAUGGGCGUAAAGCGCACGUAGGCGGCUAUUUAAGUCAGGGGUGAAAGCCCGGAGCUCAACUCCGGAACUGCCUUUGAGACUGGAUAGCUAGAAUCUUGGAGAGGCGAGUGGAAUUCCGAGUGUAGAGGUUAAAUUCGUAGAUAUUCGGAAGAACACCAGUGGCGAAGGCGGCUCGCUGGACAAGUAUUGACGCUGAGGUGCGAAAGCGUGGGGAGCAAACAGG
RNAcentral lists this ribosomal RNA (404 nucleotides) under uncultured prokaryote. RNAcentral describes it as "bacterial SSU rRNA". It matches the Rfam family "Bacterial small subunit ribosomal RNA", at positions 355 to 776 of the family's 1533-position model. The record is from RNAcentral. RNAcentral also lists the same sequence under 1 other name.